CCUACGGGUGGCUGCAGUGAGGAAUAUUGGUCAAUGGACGAGAGUCUGAACCAGCCAAGUAGCGUGAGGGAUGACUGCCCUAUGGGUUGUAAACUUCUUUUAUAAGGGGGUAAAACGAGGUACGAGUGCCUUUUUGACUGUACUUUACGAAUAAGGAUCGGCUAACUCCGUGCCAGCAGCCGCGGUAAUACGGAGGAUGCGAGCGUUAUCCGGAUUUAUUGGGUUUAAAGGGAGCGUAGAGGGGUUGUUUAGUCAGUUGUGAAAGUUUGGGGCUUAACCGUAACAAUGCAAUUGAUACUGGCAGGCUUGAGUACAGUCGAGGUAGGCGGAAUUAGUGGUGUAGCGGUGAAAUGCAUAGAUAUCACGAAGAACACCGAUAGCGAAGGCAGCUUACUAGACUGUGACUGACACUGAUGCACGAAAGUGUGGGUAUCGAACAGGAUUAGAUACCCUAGUAGUC
Molecule: ribosomal RNA, 460 nt
Filed under: uncultured bacterium
Lineage: Bacteria
Description: partial 16S ribosomal RNA
Rfam family: Bacterial small subunit ribosomal RNA
Source: RNAcentral